RNAcentral lists this unclassified non-coding RNA (271 nucleotides) under Psilocybe inquilina. RNAcentral's name for it is "partial internal transcribed spacer region". The stretch from base 1 to 46 matches the Rfam family "Eukaryotic small subunit ribosomal RNA", at positions 1786 to 1831 of the family's 1831-position model. Lineage: Eukaryota; Fungi; Basidiomycota; Agaricomycetes; Agaricales; Agrocybaceae. RNAcentral also lists the same sequence under 1 other name. The record is from RNAcentral.
AAGUCGUAACAAGGUUUCCGUAGGUGAACCUGCGGAAGGAUCAUUAUUGAAUAAACCUGAUGUGGUUGUUGCUGGCUCUCUAGGGAGCAUGUGCACGCCCGUCAUCUUUAUAUUUCCACCUGUGCACCUUUUGUAGACCCAGAAGGCUUGAGCAAUCGAGUCGUUUGGGCCUAUGUCUUAUCAUAUACCCCAUAGUAUGUAUUAGAAUGUAUCAGUGGGCUUCGUGCCUAUAAACACUAUACAACUUUCAGCAACGGAUCUCUUGGCUCUC